Molecule: ribosomal RNA, 279 nt
Filed under: uncultured bacterium
Lineage: Bacteria
Description: partial 16S ribosomal RNA
Rfam family: Bacterial small subunit ribosomal RNA
Source: RNAcentral
UGCCAGCCGCCGCGGUAAUACGAAGGGUGCUAGCGUUGUUCGGAAUUACUGGGCGUAAAGAGCAUGUAGGCGGAUGAAUUAGUCAGAGGUGAAAGCCCCGAGCUCAACUUGGGAACUGCCUUUGAUACUGGCGAACUUGAGUACGGGAGAGGAAAGUGGAAUUCCGAGUGUAGGGGUGAAAUCCGUAGAUAUUCGGAGGAACACCAGUGGCGAAGGCGGCUUUCUGGACCGAUACUGACGCUGAGACGCGAAAGCGUGGGGAGCAAACAGGAUUAGAUA